CGAACGGGGUGAGUAACGCGGUAGGGUAACCCUGCCCUGGGUAGCGGGGGAUAACUAUUGGAAACGAUAGCUAAUACCGCAUAANAGUAGAUAUCGCAUGAUAGCUGCUUGAAAGGUGCAAUUGCNCCACUACCAGAUGGACCUGCGUUGUAUUAGCUAGUUGGUGAGGUAACGGCUCACCAAGGCAACNAUACAUAGCCNACCUGAGAGGGUGAUCGGCCACACUGGGACUGANACACGGCCCANACUCCUACGGGAGGCAGCAGUAGGGAAUCUUCNGCAAUGGACGGAAGUCUGACCGANCAACNCCNCGUGAGUGAAGAAGGUUUUCGGAUCNUAAAGCUCUGUUGUAAGAAAANAACGAGUGUGANAGUGGAAAGUUCACACUGUGACGGUNUCU
This 400-nucleotide ribosomal RNA is filed under the name Streptococcus infantis. Its description in RNAcentral is "partial 16S ribosomal RNA". It matches the Rfam family "Bacterial small subunit ribosomal RNA", at positions 99 to 480 of the family's 1533-position model. Lineage: Bacteria; Bacillati; Bacillota; Bacilli; Lactobacillales; Streptococcaceae. The record is from RNAcentral.